AUAUGGUCAAGUGAAGAAGCGCAUACGGUGGAUGCCUUGGCAGUCAGAGGCGAUGAAAGACGUGGUAGCCUGCGAAAAGCUUCGGGGAGUCGGCAAACAGACUUUGAUCCGGAGAUGUCUGAAUGGGGGAACCCAGCCAUCAUAAGAUGGUUACCUUACACUGAAUACAUAGGUGUAUGGAGCGAACCAGGGGAACUGAAACAUCUAAGUACCCUGAGGAAAAGAAAUCAACCGAGAUUCCCUUAGUAGUGGCGAGCGAACGGGGACUAGCCCUUAAGUGGCUUUGAGAUUAGCGGAACGCUCUGGAAAGUGCGGCCAUAGUGGGUGAUAGCCCUGUACGCGAAAAUCUCUUAGUCAUGAAAUCGAGUAGGACGGAGCACGAGAAACUUUGUCUGAAUAUGGGGGGACCAUCCUCCAAGGCUAAAUACUACUGACUGACCGAUAGUGAACUAGUACCGUGAGGGAAAGGCGAAAAGAACCCCGGAGAGGGGAGUGAAAUAGAUCCUGAAACCGUAUGCGUACAAGCAGUGGGAGCCCACUUUGUUGGGUGACUGCGUACCUUUUGUAUAAUGGGUCAGCGACUUAUUUUCAGUGGCGAGCUUAACCGAAUAGGGGAGGCGUAGCGAAAGCGAGUCUUAAUAGGGCGUCUAGUCGCUGGGAAUAGACCCGAAACCGGGCGAUCUAUCCAUGGGCAGGUUGAAGGUUGGGUAACACUAACUGGAGGACCGAACCGACUACCGUUGAAAAGUUAGCGGAUGACCUGUGGAUCGGAGUGAAAGGCUAAUCAAGCUCGGAGAUAGCUGGUUCUCCUCGAAAGCUAUUUAGGUAGCGCCUCAUGUAUCACUGUAGGGGGUAGAGCACUGUUUCGGCUAGGGGGUCAUCCCGACUUACCAAACCGAUGCAAACUCCGAAUACCUACAAGUGCCGAGCAUGGGAGACACACGGCGGGUGCUAACGUCCGUCGUGAAAAGGGAAACAACCCAGACCGUCAGCUAAGGUCCCAAAGUUAUGGUUAAGUGGGAAACGAUGUGGGAAGGCUUAGACAGCUAGGAGGUUGGCUUAGAAGCAGCCACCCUUUAAAGAAAGCGUAAUAGCUCACUAGUCGAGUCGGCCUGCGCGGAAGAUGUAACGGGGCUCAAACCAUACACCGAAGCUACGGGUAUCACGUAAGUGAUGCGGUAGAGGAGCGUUCUGUAAGCCUGUGAAGGUGAGUUGAGAAGCUUGCUGGAGGUAUCAGAAGUGCGAAUGCUGACAUGAGUAACGACAAUGGGUGUGAAAAACACCCACGCCGAAAGACCAAGGUUUCCUGCGCAACGUUAAUCGACGCAGGGUUAGUCGGUCCCUAAGGCGAGGCUGAAAAGCGUAGUCGAUGGAAAACAGGUUAAUAUUCCUGUACUUCUGGUUAUUGCGAUGGAGGGACGGAGAAGGCUAGGCCAGCUUGGCGUUGGUUGUCCAAGUUUAAGGUGGUAGGCUGAGAUCUUAGGUAAAUCCGGGAUCUUAAGGCCGAGAGCUGAUGACGAGUUAUCUUUUAGAUGACGAAGUGGUUGAUGCCAUGCUUCCAAGAAAAGCUUCUAAGCUUCAGGUAACCAGGAACCGUACCCCAAACCGACACAGGUGGUUGGGUAGAGAAUACCAAGGCGCUUGAGAGAACUCGGGUGAAGGAACUAGGCAAAAUGGCACCGUAACUUCGGGAGAAGGUGCGCCGGUGAGGGUGAAGGACUUGCUCCGUAAGCUCAUGCCGGUCGAAGAUACCAGGCCGCUGCGACUGUUUAUUAAAAACACAGCACUCUGCAAACACGAAAGUGGACGUAUAGGGUGUGACGCCUGCCCGGUGCCGGAAGGUUAAUUGAUGGGGUUAGCUAACGCGAAGCUCUUGAUCGAAGCCCCGGUAAACGGCGGCCGUAACUAUAACGGUCCUAAGGUAGCGAAAUUCCUUGUCGGGUAAGUUCCGACCUGCACGAAUGGCGUAACGAUGGCGGCGCUGUCUCCACCCGAGACUCAGUGAAAUUGAAAUCGCUGUGAAGAUGCAGUGUAUCCGCGGCUAGACGGAAAGACCCCGUGAACCUUUACUAUAGCUUUGCACUGGACUUUGAAUUUGCUUGUGUAGGAUAGGUGGGAGGCUUUGAAGCGUGGACGCCAGUCUGCGUGGAGCCAACCUUGAAAUACCACCCUGGCAACUUUGAGGUUCUAACUCAGGUCCGUUAUCCGGAUCGAGGACAGUGUAUGGUGGGUAGUUUGACUGGGGCGGUCUCCUCCUAAAGAGUAACGGAGGAGUACGAAGGUGCGCUCAGACCGGUCGGAAAUCGGUCGUAGAGUAUAAAGGCAAAAGCGCGCUUGACUGCGAGACAGACACGUCGAGCAGGUACGAAAGUAGGUCUUAGUGAUCCGGUGGUUCUGUAUGGAAGGGCCAUCGCUCAACGGAUAAAAGGUACUCCGGGGAUAACAGGCUGAUACCGCCCAAGAGUUCAUAUCGACGGCGGUGUUUGGCACCUCGAUGUCGGCUCAUCACAUCCUGGGGCUGAAGCCGGUCCCAAGGGUAUGGCUGUUCGCCAUUUAAAGUGGUACGCGAGCUGGGUUUAGAACGUCGUGAGACAGUUCGGUCCCUAUCUGCCGUGGACGUUUGAGAUUUGAGAGGGGCUGCUCCUAGUACGAGAGGACCGGAGUGGACGAACCUCUGGUGUUCCGGUUGUCACGCCAGUGGCAUUGCCGGGUAGCUAUGUUCGGAAUAGAUAACCGCUGAAAGCAUCUAAGCGGGAAACUAGCCUCAAGAUGAGAUCUCACUGGAACCUUGAGUUCCCUGAAGGGCCGUCGAAGACUACGACGUUGAUAGGUUGGGUGUGUAAGCGCUGUGAGGCGUUGAGCUAACCAAUACUAAUUGCCCGUGAGGCUUGACCAU
This 2896-nucleotide ribosomal RNA is filed under the name Pseudomonas orientalis. RNAcentral's name for it is "bacterial LSU rRNA". It matches the Rfam family "Bacterial large subunit ribosomal RNA". The record is from RNAcentral. Lineage: Bacteria; Pseudomonadati; Pseudomonadota; Gammaproteobacteria; Pseudomonadales; Pseudomonadaceae.